UGGGGAAUUUUGCGCAAUGGGGGAAACCCUGACGCAGCAACGCCGCGUGGAGGAUGAAGUCCCUUGGGAUGUAAACUCCUUUCGAUCGGGACGAUUAUGACGGUACCGGAAGAAGAAGCACCGGCUAACUCUGUG
RNAcentral lists this ribosomal RNA (135 nucleotides) under uncultured bacterium. RNAcentral describes it as "partial 16S ribosomal RNA". It matches the Rfam family "Bacterial small subunit ribosomal RNA", at positions 355 to 507 of the family's 1533-position model. The record is from RNAcentral.